RNAcentral lists this long non-coding RNA (1062 nucleotides) under Homo sapiens (human). Its description in RNAcentral is "HSALNT0329579". Lineage: Eukaryota; Metazoa; Chordata; Mammalia; Primates; Hominidae. The record is from RNAcentral.
CCCCAACAACCAGCAGCGCAACCUGGUCAGGUCCCCUUCCACACUGUGAAAGUUUUGUUCUUUUGCUCUUCACAAUAGAUCUUGCUGCUGCUCACUCUUUGAGACUGCGCUGCCUUUAAAAGCUAUAACACUCACUGCAAAGUUCUACAGCUUCACUCCCGAAGUCAGCGUAGAACACGAACCCACCAGAAGGAAGAAACUUCAGACACGUCCGAACAGCAGAAGGAACAAACUCUGGACACACCAUCUUUAAGAAAUGUAACACCGCGAGGGUCUGCAGCUUCAUUCUUGAAGUUAGGGAGACCAAGAACCUACCAAUUCUGGACACACUGGGAUUACAGGCAUGAGCCACUGUGCCUGGCUAAGAGAUCCUCAUUUUUACAAAAAAAUGAAAAAAUGAGUUGUAUGUGGCAGCACAUGCCUGUAGUCCUAGCUACUCAGGAGGCUGAGGUGGGAGGAUUGUUUGAGCCCAGGCUGCAGUGAGCUAUGAACGUGACACUGCACUCCAGUCUGGGUGACAGAAAGCGAUCAUCUAAAAGAAGAAAUAGAGAAGCAGUGUAGUUGUGAGAAAAUUGUGUGACCUUGAACAAGUACCUUAACCUUAUCAGGUCUCUAUAAAAUAGGAAAAAUAUCACCUACCUGAUGGGCUUGCUAUGACGAGUAAAGGAAUUAUAUUGGUAUCAAUACAGUGUCUGGCGUAAUGCUAGCAUAUGCUGUAGGAAUGCCAGAGACAUGGUAAUUACCAUUAUUAUUGAGUUAUUGGAGUUUUGGUGUUUAAGAAAGGGUUGUUGCUUUGACUAAAAGCAUUGCUCCACUCACUGUAAGAUCAGGGAAGUCAGAAAAUCACCAUUAUCUGAGCAGGUAGUUUCCUUGUGAAGCAAAAAAUUGCAGAAGCUGCUCCAGAGCGUAGGGCAGGAUUCCACUGGACACUUGUCAGGGAGAAAUAUGAGUCCCCAGCUGAUGGAGAACCUUUUGUCUUUUGUUGGGCAGCCUAUGAACACUGUAUAUUUAAAAACAAACACUUCUGUGAUUGCUUAGGACUAAAUUUAAUCGUUGUAUUUG